This 1314-nucleotide ribosomal RNA is filed under the name Lactiplantibacillus paraplantarum. RNAcentral's name for it is "bacterial SSU rRNA". It matches the Rfam family "Bacterial small subunit ribosomal RNA", at positions 139 to 1440 of the family's 1533-position model. The record is from RNAcentral. Lineage: Bacteria; Bacillati; Bacillota; Bacilli; Lactobacillales; Lactobacillaceae.
GGGGAUAACACCUGGAAACAGAUGCUAAUACCGCAUAACAACUUGGACCGCAUGGUCCGAGUUUGAAAGAUGGCUUCGGCUAUCACUUUUGGAUGGUCCCGCGGCGUAUUAGCUAGAUGGUGAGGUAACGGCUCACCAUGGCAAUGAUACGUAGCCGACCUGAGAGGGUAAUCGGCCACAUUGGGACUGAGACACGGCCCAAACUCCUACGGGAGGCAGCAGUAGGGAAUCUUCCACAAUGGACGAAAGUCUGAUGGAGCAACGCCGCGUGAGUGAAGAAGGGUUUCGGCUCGUAAAACUCUGUUGUUAAAGAAGAACAUAUCUGAGAGUAACUGUUCAGGUAUUGACGGUAUUUAACCAGAAAGCCACGGCUAACUACGUGCCAGCAGCCGCGGUAAUACGUAGGUGGCAAGCGUUGUCCGGAUUUAUUGGGCGUAAAGCGAGCGCAGGCGGUUUUUUAAGUCUGAUGUGAAAGCCUUCGGCUCAACCGAAGAAGUGCAUCGGAAACUGGGAAACUUGAGUGCAGAAGAGGACAGUGGAACUCCAUGUGUAGCGGUGAAAUGCGUAGAUAUAUGGAAGAACACCAGUGGCGAAGGCGGCUGUCUGGUCUGUAACUGACGCUGAGGCUCGAAAGUAUGGGUAGCAAACAGGAUUAGAUACCCUGGUAGUCCAUACCGUAAACGAUGAAUGCUAAGUGUUGGAGGGUUUCCGCCCUUCAGUGCUGCAGCUAACGCAUUAAGCAUUCCGCCUGGGGAGUACGGCCGCAAGGCUGAAACUCAAAGGAAUUGACGGGGGCCCGCACAAGCGGUGGAGCAUGUGGUUUAAUUCGAAGCUACGCGAAGAACCUUACCAGGUCUUGACAUACUAUGCAAAUCUAAGAGAUUAGACGUUCCCUUCGGGGACAUGGAUACAGGUGGUGCAUGGUUGUCGUCAGCUCGUGUCGUGAGAUGUUGGGUUAAGUCCCGCAACGAGCGCAACCCUUAUUAUCAGUUGCCAGCAUUAAGUUGGGCACUCUGGUGAGACUGCCGGUGACAAACCGGAGGAAGGUGGGGAUGACGUCAAAUCAUCAUGCCCCUUAUGACCUGGGCUACACACGUGCUACAAUGGAUGGUACAACGAGUUGCGAACUCGCGAGAGUAAGCUAAUCUCUUAAAGCCAUUCUCAGUUCGGAUUGUAGGCUGCAACUCGCCUACAUGAAGUCGGAAUCGCUAGUAAUCGCGGAUCAGCAUGCCGCGGUGAAUACGUUCCCGGGCCUUGUACACACCGCCCGUCACACCAUGAGAGUUUGUAACACCCAAAGUCGGUGGGGUAACC